RNAcentral lists this ribosomal RNA (253 nucleotides) under uncultured bacterium. RNAcentral describes it as "partial 16S ribosomal RNA". It matches the Rfam family "Bacterial small subunit ribosomal RNA", at positions 80 to 334 of the family's 1533-position model. The record is from RNAcentral.
UUUCUUUGCUGGCGACCGGCGCACGGGUGAGUAACACGUAUCCAACCUGCCCUUUACUCGGGGAUAGCCUUUCGAAAGAAAGAUUAAUACCCGAUAGUAUAAUGAUUCCGCAUGGUUUCAUUAUUAAAGGAUUCCGGUAAAGGAUGGGGAUGCGUUCCAUUAGGUUGUUGGUGAGGUAGCGGCUCACCAAGCCUUCGAUGGAUAGGGGUUCUGAGAGGAAGGUCCCCCACAUUGGAACUGAGACACGGUCCAA